RNAcentral lists this ribosomal RNA (445 nucleotides) under uncultured bacterium. Its description in RNAcentral is "partial 16S ribosomal RNA". It matches the Rfam family "Bacterial small subunit ribosomal RNA", at positions 354 to 796 of the family's 1533-position model. The record is from RNAcentral.
GUGAGGAAUAUUGCGCAAUGGAGGCAACUCUGACGCAGCCAUGCCGCGUGCAGGAAGAAGGCGCUACGCGUUGUAAACUGCUUUUAACCGGGAAGAAACCCCAGGACGUGUCCUGGGUUGACGGUACCGGAGGAAUAAGCACCGGCUAACUUCGUGCCAGCAGCCGCGGUAAUACGAAGGGUGCAAGCGUUAUCCGGAUUCAUUGGGUUUAAAGGGUGCGUAGGCGGAGCGUUAAGGCAGUGGUGAAAUCCUGCAGCUUAACUGUAGACUUGCCAUUGAUACUGGCGCUCUUGAGUGCGCUUGAAGUGGGCGGAAUGUGCCGUGUAGCGGUGAAAUGCUUAGAUAUGGCACAGAACACCAAUUGCGAAGGCAGCUCACUAAGGCGAUACUGACGCUGAGGCACGAAAGCGUGGGGAUCGAACAGGAUUAGAAACCCCAGUAGUCC